This 57-nucleotide transfer RNA is filed under the name Gammarus pisinnus. Its description in RNAcentral is "tRNA-Cys". The record is from RNAcentral. Lineage: Eukaryota; Metazoa; Arthropoda; Malacostraca; Amphipoda; Gammaridae.
UACUUGAAAGUUUUAAUACAUCAAAUUGCAAGUUUGAAAAAGCAAAAGCUCAGGUUA